This 465-nucleotide ribosomal RNA is filed under the name uncultured bacterium. Its description in RNAcentral is "partial 16S ribosomal RNA". It matches the Rfam family "Bacterial small subunit ribosomal RNA", at positions 338 to 795 of the family's 1533-position model. The record is from RNAcentral.
CCUACGGGAGGCAGCAGUAGGGAAUCUUCCACAAUGGGCGAAAGCCUGAUGGAGCAACGCCGCGUGGGUGAAGAAGGUCUUCGGAUCGUAAAACCCUGUUGUUAGAGAAGAAAGUGCGUGAUAGUACCUGUUCACGUUUCGACGGUAUCUACCCAGAAAGCAACGGCUAACUACGUGCCAGCAGCCGCGGUAAUACGUAGGUGGCAAGCGUUAUCCGGAUUUAUUGGGCGUAAAGGGAACGCAGGCGGUCUUUUAAGUCUGAUGUGAAAGCCUUGGGCUUAACCGGAGUAGUGCAUUGGAAACUGGGAGACUGGAGUGCAGAAGAGGAGAGUGGAACUCCAUGUGUAGCGGUGAAAUGCGUAGAUAUAUGGAAGAACACCAGUGGCGAAAGCGGCUCUCUGGUCUGUAACUGACGCUGAGGUUCGAAAGCGUGGGUAGCAAACAGGAUUAGAUACCCGAGUAGUC